RNAcentral lists this ribosomal RNA (396 nucleotides) under uncultured bacterium. RNAcentral's name for it is "partial 16S ribosomal RNA". It matches the Rfam family "Bacterial small subunit ribosomal RNA", at positions 523 to 918 of the family's 1533-position model. The record is from RNAcentral.
AUACGUAGGGGGCGAGCGUUGUCCGGAAUGAUUGGGCGUAAAGGGCGCGUAGGCGGCGCGGUAAGUCUGGAGUGAAAGUCCUGCUUUCAAGGUGGGAAUUGCUUUGGAUACUGCCGCGCUUGAGUGCAGGAGAGGUUAUCGGAAUUCCCGGGGUAGCGGUGAAAUGCGUAGAGAUCGGGAGGAACACCAGUGGCGAAGGCGGGUAACUGGACCGCAACUGACACUGAGGCGCGAAAGUGUGGGGAGCAAACAGGAUUAGAUACCCUGGUAGUCCACACUGUAAACGAUGAAUGCUAGGUGUAAGAGGUAUCGACCCCUUUUGUGCCGGAGUCAACACAAUAAGCAUUCCGCCUGGGAGUACGGCCGCAAGGUUGAAACUCAAAGGAAUUGACGGGG